GCCCCCUCAGGGAGGUGUCUGGGAGAGCGCGCAGGCGCCGCGCCCGUGGCGGCUGUUCCGUUGCACUCAGCCGGCCGCCCCCCGCCGUGUUGGGCUCGGAAUCUCCGCGGGAGUGCGCCUUUCACCCGGUUGUAACGGUCCCGCCGCUUGGCGGUGGGAUCGAGGAGAGAGUGAGACUUCAGUGGAACAGCAAAUUGAACAAAUGCAUACCUUCAUGUUCGGUUGAUGGAUAAAUUCCAAGAGCAUACAAGCAACUCUUUCCUGAUCCAAGUAAUAUAAUGACAUGGUUAUAUAGGAAACUGAAAGUAGCACAGUAAAAGUACUCAUGGGUAAGAGAAAGGAAGAAAGUGUUUCAAAGCCUAGAUCCCACAAAAGACAGAGGCAAGAAUUCACAGAUGAGCACAGUGAUGAGUCAAAUGAUGAAGAAAACUCACUGUUUUCAUUUGAUACUAAUUUCUCUCCUGUGUCGACUGUAGGGGAAGUUGGGAUAAUUGAAAGUAUCCAGCUGAAGAACUUUAUGUGCCAUUCCAUGUUGGGACCUUUUCAGUUUGGAUCAAAUCUCAAUUUUGUUGUUGGAAACAAUGGAAGUGGAAAAAGUUCUGUGUUAACUGCUCUUAUUGUUGGACUUGGUGGAAAAGCCACUGCUACUAAUAGAGGUUCCUCAUUAAAAAUGUUCGUAAAAACCGGAGCAACUUCUGCAGAUAUCUCAAUAACAUUGCGAAACCAAGGUAGAGAUGCAUUUAAACCAGAAGUGUAUGGUGACUCUAUUAUUGUGAAUCAGCACAUUAAUCUGGAUGGAAACAGAAGUUACAGACUGAAAAGCAAAUCUGGGACUGUAGUUUCUUCGAAGAAAGAAGAACUCUUAGGAAUACUGGAUCACUUUAACAUACAGGUAGAUAAUCCUGUGUCUGUUUUAACUCAAGAGAUGAGUAAGCACUUCUUACAGUCUAAAAAUGAAGGUGACAAGUAUAAGUUUUUUAUGAAGGCGACUCAGCUGGAGCAAAUGAAAGAAGAUUAUUCAUAUAUUAUGAAAACUAAAGAAAAUACAAGUCUUCAGAUAGAACAAGGAGAAGAGCGUCUUCAAGAGCUUAAGCUGCUUUAUAAGGAAAAAAAGGAACGUUACAGAAGCAUUGGGUUUGUGAAUGAAAUGCGAAAUCAUCUUGAAGAGUUGAAACAUAAAAUGGCAUGGGCUGUGGUGGGAGAGAUGGAAAGAGAAAUACAGCCAAUCAGAGAAGGCAUCAGAGCUGAAGAAGGAAAUACAGAAAAGUUUGAUCAGAAGCUAGAGGAAUGCCAGGUUAAAGUAAAUGAAGCAGAAGAAAAGUACAAAACAAUACAAGAGAAAUUAGUAACAAUAAGUGAAGAAGCAGAAACCCUGCAUCCUCAGUGUAUUUCAUUAAAAGCUGAUGUGCAGGCAAGAAGAAAAGCAGUUAAUGAAGCUGAGGUACUUUAUAACCGUGUCAAAACUGAGUUGAAACGUCUGGGAAAAGACGAUGAACAGCUGCGUAACCGAAUUGAAGAAAUGAAAAACAGUGCUAAUAGGAUUUCAGAUCCUGAAAAGCUGGAAAAACAAAGGAAAAUUGCACAGUUAAAGGAAAAGUUACAGGCAUUUCAUGAUGAAGAAGUGAUGAUUGGCCAACAGAUGGAUCAGUUUCAGCAGGCUGUUUAUAAACAUAAGGAAGAACAUGCUAAACUUAGGAGAGAAGACAGUGAUAUGAAACGAGAAUUGGAUGCUAAGCAGAAACAGCUGAGAGAGCUGAGAGAUAGUAAAACAAAUACCUUUAAAAGAUUUGGACAACAUAUACCGUCAUUUCUUGAAGCAGUUGAAACAGCCUAUAGGCAAGGGCACUUUAAACGCAAACCUGUUGGACCUUUAGGUGCUUUCAUUCAUCUGAAAGAUGCUGAACUGUCCUUGGCUGUUGAAUCUUGUUUAAAGAGCUUAGUUCAGGCAUUUUGCUGUGAUAAUCAUAGUGAUGAAAGAGUUCUUCAGCAACUGAUGGCAAAUCAUUAUCCACGUGGGUUUAGACCUUCAAUAAUUGUAAAUAAAUUUCAGGAUAAAGUUUAUGAUGUUACACACAAAGGAGUUCAUCAUCCAGAAUUCCCAUCAGUUCUCACAGCAUUGGAAAUAGAUGAUCCAGUGGUUGCCAACUGUUUGAUCGAUGUGAGGGGUAUAGAAAAAAUCCUGCUAAUUAAAAGUAGCCGUAAAGCUCGUGAAGUAAUGCAGUCUAAUAAUCCUCCAAGAAAUUGUAGAGAAGCUUUCACUGCUGAAGGUGAUCAAGUAUUUGACAGACGAUACUAUUCUUCUGACUACCACAGACCCAAGUAUCUCAGCAAAGAUGUUGAAGCAGAAAUAAGUCAUUUGGAGAAUGAAGUUGCAAACAGGAAGGCGCAGUUGACAGCAUGUCAGCGACGUUUGUAUUCCAUUGAAAAUGAGAUUAGGCAGAAUGAAGAUCAUCUUCAUCGUCAUCGACAACACCAAAAAGAACUACAGAUAAAAAUGAGAACAACAAAUGCAGAAAUAGCAGAUCUUGAGAAUACAGAAGAAAACCAGUCAGUGGACAUCCGUGUAUUGGAAGAUGUGGCUGAAGAAAAUAAAAAAAAGAUGGAAUCUGCAAAAAAAGAAAUGCAGGAGCAAAGCAGAAGAAUGGAAGAACUGAACAAUGUUCUCCAGGAGGCUGAAAAAAGAUUUGAAGAAAUAAAAGAAAAAAUUCAUCAAGUAGAAGAAAUUGCUGGUCCAAUUAAGGAUGAAUUAAACAAAGCGGACUCGGAGGUGGAAAACAGAAAACGUCGUUGGCAGCACUAUGAAGACAGAAAGAACGAACAUUUGGCUUGCAUAAAAAAACAUAAGGAAUUACUAGCUGCCAAAGAAAAAGAAUUAGAGGAAAAAACUGCACAGGCUAGACAAAUCUACGCAGAGCGCAUAGAAGUCAGCAGAACUGUUAAGAGUCUGGAUGCAGAAAUGAAUCGCUUAAGAGAGAGGAUAAAUUCAGAAAAAAAUCACCAUGGGAACAGAGAAGAAAUAAUACAGCAAUUUCUUGAUGCAAAGGAAAGAUACGAGGAUGCAAACAUUAAAGUAAAGAACUUAAAGAGAUUUAUUAUGCUGCUGGAAGAAAUAAUGACACAAAGAUUCAGAAUAUAUCGACAGUUCUUAAGGUCCCAUAAUAUUUCUGAGGUAAGGCAGUGCACAGCUGAUGAAUCUCCACCAAGUUCUAGUGAUUGUGUCAGCACAGCUACUAGUCCUUUGCCUUACUUUUGCCUUGCAUAGUUUUUUAACCUCAUCUUGCGCCCAGUACCAAUAUUAUUAUGUCUGACAAUUUAGAGUCUGCCUGGACUGACAGCUGGAAAACAACAUAAUCAGUUGAGGCUGCAAAUAUUUUUCUUCACACCAAAGGCCUCAGCUAUGCUCACUCAAUCCAAGACAGUUCUGUUUCAGUACUGGUUUUGGACAGUAAAAUAUCAGCAAUAUGCUAACAUUGAAAUAAUCCAGCCUAUCAUUCAUUUUCAUUAAGUCUAGUUAUCAGUGGUAUGCUCCCAUAACUUCAUUGUGGGCCAGCCACUCUUUCUCUGCCCUAAGCUGAAAAAUCUUUCAAGACUUUUAUUCAGGACCUGCGAUUUGAUGGCUUUCUCUCUGACAAAGUGUCUGUACUGGGAAUGCACCACUUCUUUCUUGCUGCAGUCCCUUACUAUCCUGUACCAUGAUGACUUCUUGGUGGCUUCUUUUCAAAAGGACUGAAUUUUUUGUCUUUUCCAAAAAUGCAAUGCAAUCCUUUCUUGUUUAUUUUUAUUUAUUUUUUUUCAGCAGAAAUUGAGGGGUAUCUUUGUUGGUUCUGCUCUUUGUACUUUUCAGUCUGGGAUUUGGAUGGGAUUGCCAGUACAAUCAUGAGAGAUAGUAAUGAUCAAAAGAAUCCUAUCUUUUGCAUUGGAAGUAUAGAAAUGCCAGUUGAUAAAUUUGUACCCGCGGAAUCUGAUACUUGCCUUUUGGGGCCUAUAAGUGUCAAACUGAGUAUUGUUCUUAGUAUUUGAAUAUGAAUCAUGGAACCAUAGAAUGGUCCCACUCUAAUGUGUACUAAAGAACCAUAGUAAAUUCUUGGAGGAACAGUGUUGUAUUGUCUGCUGGAGACCUAUGUACUAGAAUUGAGGAAGGAAGGGAGUGCAGAGGGAAUCAGCAAUGUUUAAUUCUUGGAGUCUAGCAGAGUCCUUGUAAAUUCUUCACUAUGCUAACUAUGCAGUACUAACACUGGAUAGGGAAAUAGUAGUGAAGUCUGGUUAUUUCAUGGUGAAGUUGUGAAAGAAGCAUGUCAAAAGCUUCUGGUUGAUUGAAGCAGGGAUUAAGUUUACAGAAAAUAUAAACUCUGUACUUCUGGAUUUCUACACUUGUUACGUAGUGUCUGUAAUUUCUCUCCGAUGUUAACUGCUUGAGAAUAUAAUGGAUUUGGGGAAAAUGCUAUUAAUGGAGUAGGGUUUAGUAUUUGAGAUGAUGAUGUGAAACCGUUGAUUAAAACAUUUGCUGUCACUUUUUCAAAUGUCUUAAGACUUGGUGAGCUAAUGUUUGUUUGCAUGAUUUAACUGAUUUAAGGCUCCUUUCUUUACGAUGCAAACUGUACUUCGACUACUUAUUACGCAUUCGAGCUUGCUGUGGAAAAAUACUUUUCGACCACAAGAAUGAGACACUUUCAAUAACAGUUCAGCCUGGAGAGGAAGACAAAGCUGCCCUUAACGAUGUGAGAUCUUUAUCAGGAGGUGAACGUUCCUUCUCAACAGUUUGUUUCAUUCUUUCUCUGUGGUCCAUUACUGAAUCUCCUUUCAGAUG
Molecule: RNA transcript, 4807 nt
Organism: Cygnus olor (mute swan)
Lineage: Eukaryota; Metazoa; Chordata; Aves; Anseriformes; Anatidae
Gene: SMC6
Gene name: structural maintenance of chromosomes 6
Exons: 26
Source: RefSeq, a predicted model, not a curated record